RNAcentral lists this transfer RNA (87 nucleotides) under bacterium. RNAcentral describes it as "tRNA-Leu". It matches the Rfam family "tRNA". From Rfam's summary of the family: Transfer RNA (tRNA) molecules are approximately 80 nucleotides in length. Their secondary structure includes four short double-helical elements and three loops (D, anti-codon, and T loops). The record is from RNAcentral.
GCCCAGGUGGUGAAACUGGUAGACAUACUACCUUGAGGUGGUAGCGGGAGCAAUCCCUUGGAGGUUCAAGUCCUCUCCUGGGCACCA